This 755-nucleotide ribosomal RNA is filed under the name Ralstonia pickettii. Its description in RNAcentral is "bacterial SSU rRNA". It matches the Rfam family "Bacterial small subunit ribosomal RNA", at positions 59 to 803 of the family's 1533-position model. The record is from RNAcentral. Lineage: Bacteria; Pseudomonadati; Pseudomonadota; Betaproteobacteria; Burkholderiales; Burkholderiaceae.
AAGUCGAACGGCAGCAUGAUCUAGCUUGCUAGAUUGAUGGCGAGUGGCGAACGGGUGAGUAAUACAUCGGAACGUGCCCUGUAGUGGGGGAUAACUAGUCGAAAGAUUAGCUAAUACCGCAUACGACCUGAGGGUGAAAGUGGGGGACCGCAAGGCCUCAUGCUAUAGGAGCGGCCGAUGUCUGAUUAGCUAGUUGGUGGGGUAAAGGCCCACCAAGGCGACGAUCAGUAGCUGGUCUGAGAGGACGAUCAGCCACACUGGGACUGAGACACGGCCCAGACUCCUACGGGAGGCAGCAGUGGGGAAUUUUGGACAAUGGGCGAAAGCCUGAUCCAGCAAUGCCGCGUGUGUGAAGAAGGCCUUCGGGUUGUAAAGCACUUUUGUCCGGAAAGAAAUGGCUCUGGUUAAUACCUGGGGUCGAUGACGGUACCGGAAGAAUAAGGACCGGCUAACUACGUGCCAGCAGCCGCGGUAAUACGUAGGGUCCAAGCGUUAAUCGGAAUUACUGGGCGUAAAGCGUGCGCAGGCGGUUGUGCAAGACCGAUGUGAAAUCCCCGAGCUUAACUUGGGAAUUGCAUUGGUGACUGCACGGCUAGAGUGUGUCAGAGGGGGGUAGAAUUCCACGUGUAGCAGUGAAAUGCGUAGAGAUGUGGAGGAAUACCGAUGGCGAAGGCAGCCCCCUGGGAUAACACUGACGCUCAUGCACGAAAGCGUGGGGAGCAAACAGGAUUAGAUACCCUGGUAGUCCACGCCCU